AGUGAACGCUGGCGGUAGGCCUAACACAUGCAAGUCGAACGGCAGCACAGUAAGAGCUUGCUCUUACGGGUGGCGAGUGGCGGACGGGUGAGGAAUACAUCGGAAGCUACUUUUUCUUGGGGGAUAACGUAGGGAAACUUACGCUAAUACCGCAUACGACCUACGGGUGAAAUCAUGGGAUCUUCGGACAUUGCGUGAUUGAAUGAGCCGAUGUCGGAUUAGCUAGUUGGCGGGGUAAAGGCCCACCAAGGCGACGAUCCGUAGCUGGUCUGAGAGGAUGAUCAGCCACACUGGAACUGAGACACGGUCCAGACUCCUACGGGAGGCAGCAGUGGGGAAUAUUGGACAAUGGGCGAAAGCCUGAUCCAGCCAUACCGCGUGAGUGAAGAAGGUCUUCGGGUUGUAAAGCCCUUUUGUUGGGAAAGAAAAGCAGCAGGUUAAUACCCCGCUGUUCUGACGUUACCCAAAGAAUAAGCACCGGCUAACUUCGUG
RNAcentral lists this ribosomal RNA (492 nucleotides) under uncultured bacterium. Its description in RNAcentral is "partial 16S ribosomal RNA". It matches the Rfam family "Bacterial small subunit ribosomal RNA", at positions 29 to 507 of the family's 1533-position model. The record is from RNAcentral.